This 260-nucleotide ribosomal RNA is filed under the name uncultured microorganism. RNAcentral describes it as "partial 16S ribosomal RNA". It matches the Rfam family "Bacterial small subunit ribosomal RNA", at positions 346 to 605 of the family's 1533-position model. The record is from RNAcentral.
GCGCAACAGGCGCGAAUCUUCGGCAAUGGGCGAAAGCCUGACCGAGCGACGCCGCGUGCGGGAAGAAGGCCUUCGGGUUGUAAACCGCUUUUCUCAGGGAACAAUCCCGCUUUAGCGGGAUGAGGGUACCUGAGGAAUAAGGGGGGCUAAUCACGGUGCCAGCGAAGCAGCGGUAAUACGUGACCCCCGAGCGGUUAUCCGGGAUUUACUGGGCGUAAAGAGCCUUAAGGCGGAGGAGAAAGUCUUUCGUUAAAAUUCUC